RNAcentral lists this unclassified non-coding RNA (143 nucleotides) under Myrmecridium banksiae. Its description in RNAcentral is "partial internal transcribed spacer 2". The record is from RNAcentral. Lineage: Eukaryota; Fungi; Ascomycota; Sordariomycetes; Myrmecridiales; Myrmecridiaceae.
CAACCCUCAAGCCUGGCUUGGUGUUGGGGCCCUGCGCCUGCAGGCCAUUAAAUUCAGUGGCGGACACGCUAGGUCUCCGAGCGCAGUACUUCUUCUCGCUUCGGGCGUCCGGCGUGGGCUUGCCUCGCACCCCAUUUUAUCAA